RNAcentral lists this long non-coding RNA (223 nucleotides) under Dunaliella salina. Its description in RNAcentral is "long non-coding RNA (DSAL_LNC000346)". Lineage: Eukaryota; Viridiplantae; Chlorophyta; Chlorophyceae; Chlamydomonadales; Dunaliellaceae. The record is from RNAcentral.
AGACCAAGCCUGCUCCUACAGGGCUUUUGCUGAGUGCUUUUGUAAUCAUUCUGCCUGCAAUGUUAUGGCGUUCAGUUUUCAUGUUGGAGAUGAUAUGGUUCUGGCAGCCUGAGAGCAUGUGGAGUGCGCUAUCCAAGCGAUUGCAGCCUGAAAGGGGGCACGUUGGGUCAGAGGACCUUUUGAAACGGACUGCAUGUUUUUGAUUGUAGAGGGUGCCUGUGCA